AACGUGCCUUGGGGGGGGGGACAACUGUUGGAAACCACUGCUAAUACCGCAUAGUGUCUACGGACCAAAGGGGGCUUCGGCUCUCCCCUUUAUAUUGGCCCAAGUGGGAUUAUCUAUUUGGUGAGGUAGUGGCUCACCAGGGCCACUAUCCCUAUGUGGUUUGAGAGGAUGAUCACCCACUCUGAGACUGACACACGGCCCACACUCCUACGGGGGGCAGCAGGGGAAAAUAUUGCACAGUGGGCGCAAGCCUGAUGCACCCGUGCCGCGUGUGUGAAGAAGGUCUUCGGGUUGUAAAGCUCUUUCACUCGAGAAGAAAGGUUAGUAGUUAAUACGUGCUAUGUGUGACGUUACUGACAAAAAAAGCCCCGGCUAACUCCGUGCCAGCACCCGCGGUUAUACGGAGGGUGCGAGCGUUAAUCAGAAUUACUGGGCGUAAAGCGUACGCGGGCGGUUUGUUAAGCGAGAUGUGAAAGCCCCGGGCUCAACCUGGGAACUGCAUUUCAAACUGGCAAACUAGAGUGUGAUAGAGGGU
This 535-nucleotide ribosomal RNA is filed under the name gamma proteobacterium WH009119m. RNAcentral's name for it is "partial 16S ribosomal RNA". It matches the Rfam family "Bacterial small subunit ribosomal RNA", at positions 123 to 659 of the family's 1533-position model. Lineage: Bacteria; Pseudomonadati; Pseudomonadota; Gammaproteobacteria. The record is from RNAcentral.